GACGAACGCUGGCGGCGUGCUUAACACAUGCAAGUCGAACGGUGAAAGAAGAGCUUGCUCUUCUGGAUCAGUGGCGAACGGGUGAGUAACACGUGAGUAACCUGCCCCAGACUCUGGAAUAAGCGCUGGAAACGGCGUCUAAUACCGGAUACGAAACAGAGCUGCAUGGCUACUGUCUGGAAAGUUUUUCGGACUGGGAUGGACUCGCGGCCUAUCAGCUUGUUGGUGAGGUAACGGCUCACCAAGGCAACGACGGGUAGCCGGCCUGAGAGGGCGACCGGCCACACUGGGACUGAGACACGGCCCAGACUCCUACGGGAGGCAGCAGUGGGGAAUAUUGCACAAUGGGCGAAAGCCUGAUGCAGCGACGCCGCGUGAGGGAUGACGGCCUUCGGGUUGUAAACCUCUUUCAGCAGGGAAGAAGCGAAAGUGACGGUACCUGCAGAAGAAGCACCGGCUAACUACGUG
This 468-nucleotide ribosomal RNA is filed under the name uncultured bacterium. RNAcentral describes it as "partial 16S ribosomal RNA". It matches the Rfam family "Bacterial small subunit ribosomal RNA", at positions 28 to 507 of the family's 1533-position model. The record is from RNAcentral.